CCCGGCCGCCUACGGGAGGCUACGGGAGGGAAUAUUGAGCAAUGGAGGACAAUCGGAGGGAGCAACGCCGCGCCAGUGAGGGAGGCCUUUGGGUGCCAAAAGUCUUUUAAUAGGGAAGAACAAGGGGAUGAACAAUAAGCUGUCACCUUGACGGUACCUAACCAAUAAGCCACGGCUAACUACGUGCCAGCAGGCGCGGUAAUUAAUAGGGGGCGAGCGUUAUUUGGAAUUAUUUGGUGUAAAGCGAGGGUCGGUAGUUU
This 260-nucleotide ribosomal RNA is filed under the name Bacillus sp. N1-19NA. RNAcentral describes it as "partial 16S ribosomal RNA". It matches the Rfam family "Bacterial small subunit ribosomal RNA", at positions 330 to 581 of the family's 1533-position model. The record is from RNAcentral. Lineage: Bacteria; Bacillati; Bacillota; Bacilli; Caryophanales; Bacillaceae.